ACCUGCCCUAUGUUUAAUGUUAAUGGCCGCGGUAUUUUGACCGUGCGAAGGUAGCAUAAUAAAUAGUCUAUUAAAUGAGUUCUGGUCUGUAAUGGUAGUGACCGGACAGCAGCUGUUGGAAUAAGAUUCUUGAAUGGUGAAUCUGAGCGAAUAUGCUGACAGUACUUCUGGGGACAUCUAACCCCAACUGAGUUUUAACCUAUACUAAAAUUGUGGUGGUAUUAGAAUUUUAAAUUUAUAUUUUGUUGGGGCGACAAUAAAUUGGGAAUCAUUUUAUUUAUUAGGCUAUUUUAAUAGAGUGUUAGAUCCAUUAAUAGUGAUUAUUAGACUUAGUUACCUUAGGGGAAACAGCGUAAUUUUUAUUUUAGAGUUCUUAUCGAUAAUAAAGUUUGCGACCUCGAUGUUGGAUUAAGAUUCUUUUAGGGGUGUAGCUGUUCUAAUAAGUAGUCUGUUCGACUAUUUAAAUCUUACAUGAUCUGAUCAAAAACCCGAGGAAGGGCGUUUG
RNAcentral lists this ribosomal RNA (505 nucleotides) under Digitipes sp. 2 JJ-2012. Its description in RNAcentral is "partial 16S ribosomal RNA". The stretch from base 347 to 504 matches the Rfam family "Bacterial large subunit ribosomal RNA", at positions 2476 to 2632 of the family's 2925-position model. The record is from RNAcentral. Lineage: Eukaryota; Metazoa; Arthropoda; Chilopoda; Scolopendromorpha; Scolopendridae.